RNAcentral lists this ribosomal RNA (465 nucleotides) under uncultured bacterium. RNAcentral describes it as "partial 16S ribosomal RNA". It matches the Rfam family "Bacterial small subunit ribosomal RNA", at positions 338 to 795 of the family's 1533-position model. The record is from RNAcentral.
CCUACGGGAGGCUGCAGUGGGGAAUAUUGCGCAAUGGGCGAAAGCCUGACGCAGCGACGCCGCGUGCGGGAUGAAGGUCCUCGGAGCGUAAACCUCUGUCAGCAGGGAAGAACGGUCACUGUGCUAAUCAGCAGUGAAUUGACGGUACCUGCAAAGGAAGCACCGGCUAACUCCGUGCCAGCAGCCGAGGUAAUACGGAGGGUGCGAGCGUUAAUCGGAAUUACUGGGCGUAAAGCGCUCGUAGGCGGUAUGUCAAGUCAAGGGUGAAAUCCCCGCGCUCAACGAGGGAACUGCCUUUCAAACUGGCAAACUUGAGUGUGUGGGAGGUUAGUGGAAUUCGAGGUGUAGGAGUGAAAUCCGUAGAUAUCUGGAGGAACAUCAGUGGCGAAGGCGACUAUCGGGCACAUAACUGACGCUGAGGAGCGAAGGCGUGGGUAGCGAACAGGAUUAGAUACCCCAGUAGUC